CUGGCCUCCACCUGAGGGCACCCCAACAACACCCACCACUCUCCGAGUUUCUUUUUGGGCCCACACUCCCAAUCACGCUGGUCCUAUUUAGGCAUCAAAUAUUAAUCGAGAUUUGUCACCUAAGGGGCCGCUGCUGCAGUUUAUCCAUUCAAAAGCUUUUGAUGCAUGGAGAACUUCAAAGCUGAGUGUUUUGGUGUUGAGCCAACAGAGGGCGUCGUACAUCAGUUUAUCAACGCGAGUGGGUUUGCGUCUCCUUUGCAAGCCACCGCUCUACUUUUUGUCGCUGACAUUUUGGAAGCGAACCACUGCUCAGGGAAGUGACCAUUUUUAGAUUUCAGCUGUCUGCGUCACCAGCCGACCAAAUAAGA
Long non-coding RNA from Syngnathoides biaculeatus (alligator pipefish), 368 nucleotides. RefSeq lists it as uncharacterized. The transcript is spliced from 3 exons. NCBI's taxonomy places the organism in Eukaryota, Metazoa, Chordata, Actinopteri, Syngnathiformes, Syngnathidae. The record is from RefSeq and is a predicted model, not a curated record.